UCCGCAGCGGGCCUUCUCCUGGGGUGGGCUAUCAGGUGUAGCCACACCUGCACAAAGUCCCUAAUGCACACAGGCCCUGGGCUUCACACUGCCGGUGGUCCCUUCCCUGGCGGUCUGCGGAGCAGGCUGAGCUGUCGGGUAGAUUCUGCCCUAGAACCAUAGAAUCAUAGAAUAUCAGGGUUGGAAGGGACCUCAGGAGGUCAUCUAGUCCAACCCCCAGCUCAAAGCAGGACCAAUUCCCAGUUAAAUCAUCCCAGCCAGGGCUUUGUCAAGCCUGACCUUAAAAACUUCUAAGGAAGGAGAUUCUACCACCUCCCUAGGUAACGCAUUCCAGUGUUUCACCACCCUCCUAGUGAAAAAGUUUUUCCUAAUAUCCAACCUAAACCUCCCCCACUGCAACUUGAGACCAUUACUCUUUGUCCUGUCCUCUUCUACCACUGAGAAUAGUCUAGAACCAUCCUCUCUGGAACCACCUCUCAGGUAGUUGAAAGCAGCUAUCAAAUCCCCCCUCAUUCUUCUCUUCUGCAGACUAAACAAUCCCAGUUCCCUCAGCCUCUCCUCAUAACUCAUGUGUUCCAGACCCCUAAUCAUUUUUGUUGCCCUUCCCUGGACUCUCUCCAAUUUAUCCACAUCCUUCUUGUAGUGUGGGGCCCAAAACUGGACACAGUACUCCAGAUGAGGCCUCACCAAUGUCGAAUAGAGGGGGACAAUCACGUCCCUCGAUCUGCUCGCUAUGCCCCUACUUAUACAUCCCAAAAUGCCAUUGGCCUUCUUGGCAACAAGGGCACACUGCUGACUCAUAUCCAGCUUCUCGUCCACUGUCACCCCUAGAAAGGAGACAAAAUGUUGUUUCCGGAGCUUUGCAAUUUACGAGGCUUCUCUUGGGUAACUGGCUGGGGGCAUUUCCUACCUCAGACUCAGGGGAGAUUUCCCAAGGCACCCUGGCAGUCGAGCAUCCAUCGAAUGUCAAUGGGAUGUUGGAGCCUCCCCUGGAAACUCUUCUGUUUUCCUGGGGCUCAUCCAAGGAUGGCAUUGUCUGAGGCAUCGUCUACACUAGAAAAACUUUGCCUCCGUAGCUAUCCUGGCGAGCCCUCCUAGUAUCUGUAGGAAGACAAAUGAGCCACUGGCUCGUGGCUUCUUAGCAGGUUCCUCCAGGCAACCAGCUCAGCUGGAGAGCUAAGAAAUCGGAGGCUGCUGGCCAGCAAUACGAAGAGCUGCCACCCACAGGUGGAUAAGGAGCAACACCCACUAGCUACCCGGGGAAUCACAAAGCCUGGCCCGGAGAGAAGGAAAACGCCAGAGGCCAGACCAGACUCAUGCACAGCAGCCCCCCUUUGGCUGACGUCGGUUACAGCCCCCUGAGGGAACAAUGCAGACAGAGGGGGAAGUUUUCCAUACCUCAGCCCCACGGCUGGCUGUUCAUUCCAGAGGUGCCACCGAGUCAGGAACUGGGGGCUUCCCGACUGGGGGCUUCCCACGGCCCUUGUGGGUUUGUUCCCAGAAGCAAGGAAAGAACUCCUGCCGGACUUUAAACUUUAACACCCUGAGUCUUUAGAUGGGGAGCUGAUUUCUCUAGCCUACAUUGCCAAAUUCACCCUGUUUUCACAGUUACCCUUGGGCACCAGAUUAGCUGAGCAAAUGAUCUCGAGCGCGAGCUUCACCUAGUGAUCAGUGCAGGAAGCAGCGCAUUAGGACUCCUGGGUUCUAGUCCCAGAGGUGCCACUUUGGUAAAAGAGAUUGCUACAAGAAGUCACUCCAGGAAAUCCUGUGGCUGGAUUUUACUUAUUAAAGGCCUGGAUAAUUUUAUUACCUCUAGUCACAUUUCAGCUGUGAUGGCAGUGAGCAAACAUCAUGCUCCAGGGAACAGGCAGGUUAUCUGUAGGGCUUGGGCAGGCAGGACGCCUCAGUUUACCCUGCUAUAAAAUCAUUUUAAUAAUACCUACUUCCCAAGGCAAUAAAGAGGUUAUAGCCCCGGCUACAGUUAAAAUUGAGGUCGACUGACACACCUAUGUCACUCAGGAGUGUGAAAAAUCCACCCCGAAUGCUGUAGCUAUGCUGACAUACAGCUAGGUCAAUGGAGGAAUGCAUCCAUCAAUCCAGCUACCAUCCCUUGGGGAGGUGGAGUUCCUACAAAAUCAGAAAAACCCCUUCCUUCACUGUGGGCUGCAUCUAGACUCUACACAAUGGCGUUAUGCCACUGUACACCCCAUAGGGUAGACAUGGCCUUAGUUAAUUGUUUAUAAAGUGCUUUAAAUUAACAGCUUUGCAUUCUGCAGGCCAAGGGAAGUUUCUCUCUAAUUUCUCUUUAGUUUUGUUCCCUAGAAGCUAUAUUUGUCAGACCACUGUUUUGUUUUCACUUCCUUCUAGGUUCACUGAUUCAAGAGCCUUCCUCACAUGACCGACGGAAACUUUGAGCUGGCUGAUGCAAGAGCUUGACGAACUUCUUUGGUAACCAUGGGGGAGUUUCUGCAAAAGUCAUAAGACCUGGUGGUAAUGGGAAUUGUUUGCUCAAUGACUCAGUGGCUCAGUCAGCUGCCCUGCAGAGCCUCCAAGAAGUCAACCUGGCAGAACACAGCGUGGCGAGCUGCAGGUGAGUACAGAGCUCAUCAGCAGAAGUGACCAUGCAGAGCUCAUCAGCAGAGGUGACCAUGAUGGAGUCCCCGAAUCGCAAAAGAGCUCCAGCAUGGACUGAACGGGAGGUACGGGAUCUGAUCGCUGUAUGGGGAGAGGAAUCUGUGCUAUCAGAACUCCGUUCCAGUUUCAAAAUGCCAAAACAUUUAUCAAAAUCUCCCAGGGCAUGAAGGACAGAGGCCAUAACAGGGACCCAAAGCAGUGCUGCAUGAAACUUAAGGAGCUGAGGCAAGCCUACCAGAAAACCAGAGAGGCAAAUGGCCGCUCCGGGUCAGAGCCCCAAACAUGCUGCUUCUAUGAUGAGCUGCAUGCCAUUUUAGGGGGUUCAGCCACCACUACCCCAGCCGUGUUGUUUGACUCCUUCAAUGGAGAUGGAGGCAACACAGAAGCAGGUUUUGGGGACGAGGAAGAUGAUGAUGAUGAAGUUGUAGAUAGCUCACAGCAAGCAAGCAGAGAAACCAGUUUUCCCGAAAGCCAGGAACUGUUUCUCACCCUGGACCCAGAGCCAGUACCUCCCGAACCCACCCAAGAUUGCCUUCCGGACCCCCCAGGUGGAGAAGGGACCUCUGCUGCAUGUGUUUCAAGGAUCACAGGACCUUCUCCUUCCCAGAGGCUAGCGAAGAUUAGAAGGCAAAAAAACCGCACUCGCGAU
Caretta caretta (loggerhead turtle) is the source of this 3283-nucleotide non-coding RNA. Lineage: Eukaryota; Metazoa; Chordata; Testudines; Cheloniidae. The record is from RefSeq and is a predicted model, not a curated record.